Molecule: ribosomal RNA, 644 nt
Filed under: uncultured archaeon
Lineage: Archaea
Description: bacterial SSU rRNA
Rfam family: Archaeal small subunit ribosomal RNA
Source: RNAcentral
GCUCAGUAACACGUCGAUAAUCUGCCUUUAGGCCGGAGAUAACCUUGGGAAACUGAGGAUAAUAUCCGAUAGGAAAAGAAUUCUGGAAUGAGUUUUUUCUGAAAGGCAUACACCUAAAGAUGAGUCGGCGGUCGAUUAGGCUGUUGGCGAGGUAAUGGCUCACCAAACCUUUGAUCGAUAGGGGCCUUGAAAGAGGGAGCCCCGAGAAGGGAACUGAGACACGGUCCCUAGCCCUACGGGGUGCAGCAGGCGCGAAAACUCCACAAUGUACGAAAGUAUGAUGGGGGAAUCCUAAGUGCUUACACACAGUGUAGGCUUUUGCCAAAAGCAAAAAUUUUGGCGAAUAAGUGGUGGGCAAGACUGGUGCCAGCAGCCGCGGUAACACCAGCGCCACGAGUGGGAGCCGUAAUUAUUGGGCCUAAAGCGUCCGUAGCCGGUUAAGUAAAUCUUUUGUGAAAUCGUUGAGCUUAACUUAACGACGUGCAGAAGACACUGCUAAACUUGGAACUGGGAGGGGUCAGAGGUAUUCCUGGGGGAGCGGUAAAAUGUUAUAAUCCCAGGAGGACCACCUGUGGCGAAGGCGUCUGACCAGAACAGAUUCGACGGUGAGGGACGAAAGCCAGGGGAGCGAUCCGGAUUAGAUA